GGAGGGUGCAAGCGUUAAUCGGAAUUACUGGGCGUAAAGCGCGCGCAGGCGGCUGGGUCAGUCGGAUGUGAAAGCCCCGGGCUUAACCUGGGAAUUGCAUUCGAUACUGCCCGGCUAGAGUAUGGGAGAGGGAAGUGGAAUUUCCGGUGUAGCGGUGAAAUGCGUAGAUAUCGGAAGGAACACCAGUGGCGAAGGCGGCUUCCUGGCCCAAUACUGACGCUCAGGUGCGAAAGCGUGGGGAGCGAACAGGGAUUAGAUACCCUGGUAGUCCACGCUGUAAACGAUGAGAACUAGAUGUUGGGAGGGUUAGCCUCUCAGUGUCGCAGCUAACGCGUUAAGUUCUCCGCCUGGGAGUACGACCGCAAGGUUG
Molecule: ribosomal RNA, 370 nt
Filed under: uncultured organism
Description: partial 16S ribosomal RNA
Rfam family: Bacterial small subunit ribosomal RNA
Source: RNAcentral